Molecule: non-coding RNA, 25 nt
Filed under: Mus musculus (house mouse)
Lineage: Eukaryota; Metazoa; Chordata; Mammalia; Rodentia; Muridae
Source: RNAcentral
UAGUAAAGGAGAUAGGAUAGCUCAG